GAUGAACGCUGGCGGCGUGCCUAAUACAUGCAAGUCGAGCGAACAGAUAAGGAGCUUGCUCCUUUGAAGUUAGCGGCGGACGGGUGAGUAACACGUGGGUAACCUACCUAUAAGACUGGGAUAACUUCGGGAAACCGGAGCUAAUACCGGAUAACAUUUGGAACCGCAUGGUUCUAAAGUGAAAGAUGGUUUUGCUAUCACUUAUAGAUGGACCCGCGCCGUAUUAGCUAGUUGGUAAGGUAACGGCUUACCAAGGCGACGAUACGUAGCCGACCUGAGAGGGUGAUCGGCCACACUGGAACUGAGACACGGUCCGGACUCCUACGGGAGGCAGCAGUAGGGAAUCUUCCGCAAUGGGCGAAAGCCUGACGGAGCAACGCCGCGUGAGUGAUGAAGGGUUUCGGCUCGUAAAACUCUGUUAUUAGGGAAGAACAAAUGUGUAAGUAACUGUGCACAUCUUGACGGUACCUAAUCAGAAAGCCACGGCUAACUACGUGCCAGCAGCCGCGGUAAUACGUAGGUGGCAAGCGUUAUCCGGAAUUAUUGGGCGUAAAGCGCGCGUAGGCGGUUUCUUAAGUCUGAUGUGAAAGCCCACGACUCAACCGUGGAGGGUCAUUGGAAACUGGGAAACUUGAGUGCAGAAGAGGAAAGUGGAAUUCCAUGUGUAGCGGUGAAAUGCGCAGAGAUAUGGAGGAACACCAGUGGCGAAGGCGACUUUCUGGUCUGUAACUGACGCUGAUGUGCGAAAGCGUGGGGAUCAAACAGGAUUAGAUACCCUGGUAGUCCACGCCGUAAACGAUGAGUGCUAAGUGUUAGGGGGUUUCCGCCCCUUAGUGCUGCAGCUAACGCAUUAAGCACUCCGCCUGGGGAGUACGACCGCAAGGUUGAAACUCAAAGGAAUUGACGGGGACCCGCACAAGCGGUGGAGCAUGUGGUUUAAUUCGAAGCAACGCGAAGAACCUUACCAAAUCUUGACAUCCUUUGAAAACUCUAGAGAUAGAGCCUUCCCCUUCGGGGGACAAAGUGACAGGUGGUGCAUGGUUGUCGUCAGCUCGUGUCGUGAGAUGUUGGGUUAAGUCCCGCAACGAGCGCAACCCUUAAGCUUAGUUGCCAUCAUUAAGUUGGGCACUCUAGGUUGACUGCCGGUGACAAACCGGAGGAAGGUGGGGAUGACGUCAAAUCAUCAUGCCCCUUAUGAUUUGGGCUACACACGUGCUACAAUGGACAAUACAAAGGGCAGCUAAACCGCGAGGUCAUGCAAAUCCCAUAAAGUUGUUCUCAGUUCGGAUUGUAGUCUGCAACUCGACUACAUGAAGCUGGAAUCGCUAGUAAUCGUAGAUCAGCAUGCUACGGUGAAUACGUUCCCGGGUCU
Molecule: ribosomal RNA, 1372 nt
Filed under: uncultured bacterium
Lineage: Bacteria
Description: bacterial SSU rRNA
Rfam family: Bacterial small subunit ribosomal RNA
Source: RNAcentral